RNAcentral lists this long non-coding RNA (679 nucleotides) under Olea europaea (common olive). Its description in RNAcentral is "long non-coding RNA (OEUR_LNC010388)". The record is from RNAcentral. Lineage: Eukaryota; Viridiplantae; Streptophyta; Magnoliopsida; Lamiales; Oleaceae.
GCCAAAGAGAAAAUUACCCAAUGGCCAAUACCAUGAUCUGAAAAUUCGAUAAUCAUAAAUCAGGUUAUAAGGGGGCCUUGACUCCAUUUCUUCACUCCCCCAAAAUGUUCUCGACAACAAUAAUAGCAAUAUUCCUUUAACAACCAAUUAUCGGUCUUAUUAUGAUCAAAAGCAAGAGUGUUUAAUGGAUUUGAAAAGUUAUCCUGUAAAAGAAAAUAUGCUCGUGUUUGGUGGCGCUGAAGCGAGUUGUUCUUCAUCUGAUGGAAGCUGCAGUCAGAUCAGCCGUGGAAAAACUGUAAAACAAGAACUGGGCUGUCUUCAAGGACUUGUGUCAAAUAAUGGAUUUCGAGAAAAUCAAAAGUUCAUUCUUGAUUAUGGACAUAUCAAUGGAGAUAACAAUGGAGACCCAUUCCUCAUAUUUACUGAUCAAAAGUCAACUGGGAUUUUGGGGAACAGCCAACUGCAGUAUGAUAUUGAAGAAGUUAGCAAAUGAUUAGCAUCGGCAAUGGUUUACUCGAUGAAAACAAGACUCAAGAGAAGCGUAUGUACCAGUACUAAUGAAUUGAAAACUGACUGUAAUUACCAUCGGAAAGAUUUGAAGGGGCAUCGUAUGGUGGGAAUUCAGAUGGUUUACUGUUUGUGAUGGAAAUUAAUGAAAAAACUUAUUUUUUUUCUUGAC